RNAcentral lists this ribosomal RNA (373 nucleotides) under uncultured bacterium. Its description in RNAcentral is "bacterial SSU rRNA". It matches the Rfam family "Bacterial small subunit ribosomal RNA", at positions 525 to 896 of the family's 1533-position model. The record is from RNAcentral.
ACAGAGGCCUCAAGCGUUGUUCGGAAUCACUGGGCGUAAAGGGUGCGUAGGCGGCGCGGAAAGUCAGGGGUGAAAUCCCGGAGCUCAACUCCGGAACUGCCUUUGAUACUCCCGCGCUUGAGAACUGGAGGGGACAUCGGAAUUCACGGUGGAGCAGUGAAAUGCGUGGAUAUCGUGAGGAACACUAGUGGCGAAGGCGGAUGUCUGGACAGUAUCUGACGCUGAGGCACGAAGGCCAGGGGAGCGAACGGGAUUAGAUACCCCGGUAGUCCUGGCAGUAAACGGUGCACGCUUGGUAUGGGGGGAAUCGACCCCUCCCGUGCCGGAGCUAACGCGUUAAGCGUGCCGCCUGGGAAGUACGGUCGCAAGAUUA